Molecule: ribosomal RNA, 253 nt
Filed under: uncultured bacterium
Lineage: Bacteria
Description: partial 16S ribosomal RNA
Rfam family: Bacterial small subunit ribosomal RNA
Source: RNAcentral
UACGUAGGGAGCAAGCGUUGUCCGGAUUCACUGGGUGUAAAGGGUGCGCAGGCGGAUUUGUUAGUCAGAGGUGAAAUCUCACGGCUUAACCGUGAAACUGCCUUUGAUACUGCAGAUCUUGAGUUUGGGAGAGGUUGAUGGAAUUCCAGGUGUAGCGGUGAAAUGCGUAGAUAUCUGGAAGAACACCAGUGGCGAAGGCGGUCAACUGGCCCAUAACUGACGCUCAGGCACGAAAGCGUGGGGAGCGAACAGG